This 216-nucleotide ribosomal RNA is filed under the name Pseudoalteromonas lipolytica. RNAcentral describes it as "16S rRNA. Bacterial SSU". It matches the Rfam family "Bacterial small subunit ribosomal RNA", at positions 1 to 216 of the family's 1533-position model. The record is from RNAcentral. Lineage: Bacteria; Pseudomonadati; Pseudomonadota; Gammaproteobacteria; Alteromonadales; Pseudoalteromonadaceae.
UUUAAUUGAAGAGUUUGAUCAUGGCUCAGAUUGAACGCUGGCGGCAGGCCUAACACAUGCAAGUCGAGCGGUAACAGAGAGUAGCUUGCUACUCUGCUGACGAGCGGCGGACGGGUGAGUAAUGCUUGGGAAUGUACCUUAUGGUGGGGGACAACAGUUGGAAACGACUGCUAAUACCGCAUAAUGUCUUCGGACCAAAGCGGGGGACCUUCGGGC